This 497-nucleotide ribosomal RNA is filed under the name uncultured bacterium. RNAcentral's name for it is "partial 16S ribosomal RNA". It matches the Rfam family "Bacterial small subunit ribosomal RNA", at positions 28 to 507 of the family's 1533-position model. The record is from RNAcentral.
GAUGAACGCUGGCGGCGUGCCUAAUACAUGCAAGUCGAGCGAACAGACGAGGAGCUUGCUCCUUCGACGUUAGCGGCGGACGGGUGAGUAACACGUAGGUAACCUACCUAUAAGACUGGGAUAACUUCGGGAAACCGGAGCUAAUACCGGAUAAUAUUUCGAACCGCAUGGUUCGAUAGUGAAAGAUGGCUUUGCUAUCACUUAUAGAUGGACCUGCGCCGUAUUAGCUAGUUGGUAAGGUAACGGCUUACCAAGGCAACGAUACGUAGCCGACCUGAGAGGGUGAUCGGCCACACUGGAACUGAGACACGGUCCAGACUCCUACGGGAGGCAGCAGUAGGGAAUCUUCCGCAAUGGGCGAAAGCCUGACGGAGCAAUGCCGCGUGAGUGAUGAAGGUCUUCGGAUCGUAAAACUCUGUUAUUAGGGAAGAACAAACGUGUAAGUAACUGUGCACGUCUUGACGGUACCUAAUCAGAAAGCCACGGCUAGCUACGUG